RNAcentral lists this unclassified non-coding RNA (348 nucleotides) under soil metagenome. RNAcentral's name for it is "partial contains 5.8S ribosomal RNA, internal transcribed spacer 2, and large subunit ribosomal RNA". The stretch from base 1 to 120 matches the Rfam family "5.8S ribosomal RNA", at positions 35 to 154 of the family's 154-position model. The record is from RNAcentral.
GAUGAAGAACGCAGCGAAAUGCGAAAAGUAAUGUGAAUUGCAGAAUUCAGUGAACCAUCGAAUCUUUGAACGCACAUUGCGCCCGCUGGAACUCCGGCGGGCAUGCCUGUCCGAGCGUCAUUUCAACCCUCAGGCCCCCCUUCGCGGGCGGGCCUGGUGUUGGGGCCCGGCCGCUACCCUGCGGCCGUCCCCUAAAUCCAGUGGCGGCCUCGCCGUGAUCCCUUGCGUAGUAAUGCACCUCGCACCGGAGAGCGCCGUGGCCACGCCGUAAAACCCCCAAUUUUCAAUGGUUGACCUCGGAUCAGGUGGGAAUACCCGCUGAACUUAAGCAUAUCAAUAAGCGGAGGA